GAAGGAUUUAAUUUAAAUACUUGGAAAUGGCUCCACCCUGUCAUUCUCUUAUUUUUAUUGGCUUCAUACAACUUACAUACAUGAACUUGUAGUUCCAGUAACAUGAUAUAUAUCUUGUCUUUUCAGAGGCAGAUAUCAUUGGCAAGAAAUUAGGAGCAAAGGUUCGUGAAACAUGAAGUUUGCCGAUGCUGUAACAAAUUCAAGUAACCAACAUUCUAAUGAUUUAUUGUUGUCAAUUUGGAUAGAGAACACACAGAAAGGAAUAAAAAA
RNAcentral lists this unclassified non-coding RNA (270 nucleotides) under Hevea brasiliensis (rubber tree). Lineage: Eukaryota; Viridiplantae; Streptophyta; Magnoliopsida; Malpighiales; Euphorbiaceae. The record is from RNAcentral.